RNAcentral lists this ribosomal RNA (375 nucleotides) under uncultured bacterium. RNAcentral describes it as "bacterial SSU rRNA". It matches the Rfam family "Bacterial small subunit ribosomal RNA", at positions 524 to 898 of the family's 1533-position model. The record is from RNAcentral.
UACGUAGAGGGCAAGCGUUGUCCGGAAUCACUGGGCGUAAAGGGUACGCAGGCGGAAAUACAAGUCAAGUGUGAAAUCUAUCGGCUCAACCGAUAAGCUGCAUUUGAAACUGUAUAUCUUGAGUAUAGGAGAGGAGAGCGGAAUUCCUGGUGUAGCGGUGGAAUGCGUAGAUAUCAGGAAGAACACCAGUGGCGAAGGCGGCUCUCUGGCCUAAAACUGACGCUCAUGUACGAAAGCUGGGGGAGCGAACGGGAUUAGAUACCCCGGUAGUCCCAGCCGUAAACGAUGGACACUAGGUGUUGGGGGUUCGAAUCCUUCAGUGCCGCAGUUAACGCAAUAAGUGUCCCGCCUGGGGACUACGGUCGCAAGACUGAA